This is a long non-coding RNA of Lolium rigidum, 3513 nucleotides long. RefSeq lists it as uncharacterized. Lineage: Eukaryota; Viridiplantae; Streptophyta; Magnoliopsida; Poales; Poaceae. The record is from RefSeq and is a predicted model, not a curated record. The transcript has 4 exons.
UUCUCUUCUUCCUCCCGACUUCCGAUCUAGGCCACAAUCGUCUCCGUUGAAUCCUCCUGAGAUUCUGCCCGCGGCGGAGAGGAUUUCGCCGGCAUCAGCUUGGAUUCCAGCAAUAUAGAGGGUAGCGGCCAACUCCUACAUGGCGUGUGCGCGCCGACAAUUCUGAGGACGCGUUCGAUCUGGAGUGGACUCCCCCGCCGUCCCCAAAGAUUGGUCGAGAAGAGCUGCAGCUGCUGUCACGCGCGAGAAAAAAGCCAAGUCGGCUGGCGGCCAAGGCAGAGAGGAGCCAGGCAAGACGGACAAGAGCGUGGUGCUGGUUGUGUUUGAGCAGCGGUAGGUGGUGGUGUUGUGUGGGUGCAGCUACUACUGGAUGCAUGUAUCACACUGCAGACAAGGGGAAAGCCACCGCGCGACCCCACGUCGGCAGCGGCGCGGAAGCGGCCGGCUUCCUAGAAGACACCUCCCCGGAACCCGCGCCUCCUUCUGCAGCAGCAACAGCCUCCGUGGCGCCUUCCACGACACUGAUGACGAAGCAGGAGACCGAGACGAGGUCGCUUGCUGCCAUGGAUAUGAACGCACUGGUGGUGUUCGACGAAAUGCCUUCAAGUUUUACAGGUGGGAAGCUAACCAGAUUCAUAGAGUGAAGGUAGCCAAGAUGGAUUUGGGUGCAGCUAAAAUGAGCAAACACCUACACUUUCAUCGGUUGUGUCCCUCAGGAGUUUAGCAUUGCAGUGUUUCCACUUUCCAACAUCAAAUCAAAUACUUCACGUGGAGACUUCACUUUGUGCUUCAGGUGCCAAUCAUUAUCUGUCCACAAUCUUCUGUUGGUUCAGAUGUUCGCAUGUUGUUUGUUACAUUGCUGUCAACUGCAAAUAAGCAUUUUAUGCUGGAAAAUGUUACAUUGAUGUCAGCUGUAAAUGAACAGUUUAUGAUUUACAUAGACUAAAAUUUGGGGAUUAGGAAGAAUUAUGUAAAAUGACACGAAAGUUACACAACCUUCAUCAAUGGCAGGUGUUCCCGUUUCCCCUACUUCUAGCUAGCAAUACUGGGAGUAGUUACUCUCCAGACUCCAGUUUGCAUCCAAUUUUUGCUAGGCUACCACUUGCACGAGCAAAUCUGAUGUCUUUUCCUAUCUCAUAACUCUAGGAUGCUUACUGUUUAAUGAUUGUUUGUGUUCUGGAAUCGUUUUGAUUUCCCGAUUUCAACCUAAACUAUUCAUUUUUGUAGUCAACAAAGCUUAUUGUGUUAUUAGUUUAGGUACAACUAGAAUUAUUAUUCUUUUUUCCACUUAAAUUGGUUUGAUGAAGUUAAAUUUAGUGUAAUAGUUUAUAUCAUGGUAGAUGUCAGAUGAAAUUCAUCAGUUAGGGCAUUUAGUUUUAGAUUAUUAGUAGUGAUGUUUUUUGAAGAAGCAGUAAACAUUAGACCAUACUAGAGUUAUAUUUUGCAUGUUAGCUCUUUGGUUUCAUGGAGGCAUUUGAAUUUAGUCUGGUCCCAACAUCUUUGAAGAUGACGUACAUGUUGUUGCUUAUUGCAUAUGAGGCAAAUCGCUAAUUUGCAUCUACCUUAAGAAGUGUUGUGAAUGCUACAUCUGCACAUUCAUGUAAGCUGCAUGAAUUGGGUAUUGUUCAUUCGAUUGCAUAUCAUGCAACCUAGCAGCCUAUCGAUGAGGAAUUCAGGUUGCUAUGUAUGGGGUGACAUUUUGGAGAUAUGUGUGGUUCAAUUUCUUUUGUGCUCAUUCAGGCCAUUCUCACAUGUAAGAACGGAUUUUUGGGACGGUCAUCUAUUUAUCUGUUCGGCGCUUGACUUCAGUCAUGUGUGAGGUACUAAAAUGAUUCUGAGCUUCAGAUCACGCAUAUUUGUAGAAGGUUGCUAUUAUAGUCCAAUUAUUCAGGGUUUUCUUAUUGCAAUAUCGGAAUGAUUUGGUUUCUUUUAGGUGCGAGGAGCUAACUUAGCUAAAAUAUUUCAUUUGCCAUAUAGUUUUUUUUGUAUUCUCUAGCAAGUGUAUGUGCAACGAAAUUAAAGGUUCUUGAGAUGGUUGAUGAUAUAAGGACAUAUUCCCCGGUUAUAUGGUUUACUUCAAUCUUCAUCAGCCAGAACAAGGUCAUAGAUCCUCUCCCCGCAAUAAGAAUAGGUUUUUGUGGGUCUAUUUUUUUUUAUCUUGUUUCUAACUUGAGUUAACUGGUUGGUCUGACUGAGCAAGAAUUGAGAUUUAUUCACGUAUUGUAUCUUUUGGAAUAACUGUUAGUUCACAUGACUCAUUUGAUAUUAUUCUAAGUUGUAAGCCUGGUCAUUGACCUGACUUUCGAGGUCACUCCCGGCUGGGGCGUGCACAAGCGUUGGGUAUUGGAUUGAAGAGCACUUGUCUCGUCGAGCAGGGGUGAUAAGCUGGACUUUUUUUGCUGGGGUUGAGGCUUCUUCCAACAACCAUUUGGCCCAUCCACAACCCUAGAAUUUGUUAAUUUGUGUGCUAAAGGCAGUUUUAUAAGGAAAAAAAACAUGAACCUUAUGCUUUACUGAUAUUGAUAAAUCUGAAUAUUUCAGACCAGAAUGUUGCCAAAGGCUUGAAGAUUUCAUAUCAUCUCUCUGCACACACAAUUUAUUUCUGGGGUUGCUUUGGUCUAUAUUAUUUGUGUUCUUAGAGGCACAAGAGAGGAAAUGAGUGUGCUUACAUUACUAUGAAGGUUUGUUUACAUUAUAUGAUUAACUUGGGUGGUUAAUCCAAGAGGCAUUGGUUUCAGUACCAACUAACCAUAAGCAUUUUAGCUAUGGUUCCUUUUUGCUUAUCCUAGAGCGUUUUAUCAGGUGUCCCCUACUUUUUAGUGUUGGAAUCUGAUGUGACCUGGAUAAAAUGACUAGGUAGAGUGCAACUUAGGUUAGAAUCUGGAUAUAAAUUCGAGCCUUCUGUUUUUGAUUUAUUGACCACAUUGCCUGUAACAUUGUGGUGCCCCAACUUCUUGAGACAGGUGGUGCACACAGUUUGUGUUUUACGGCUACUAGGGGUGAAACCUGCGUGGUGCAUUUUACCCAGCGGGGCGGCAGGUUUGUCGGUUCGUGGCGCGUGGUUGUUGGUGUCUACUGAUUUUGGUGCUUCUAUUUGCGGUUGUGGCGUUGUCUUUUCCUGCAUCUUGUGAGGUGGUUUGCUUUCCAUGUCUGAUUGGUGAGCUAUUCUUGGUUUUGCUGCUUGAGGGUAUAUAUUGGCAUGUCAAUCAAGAAUGUAAAGAAGACUGAAACUGAGUUUCAUCCACCUGGUCCUAUCAACAUUGUAGAGAAGGCUGAAUCCUGUCAAGAAUAUUAGAAUUUUAACAUCACUCGGCAUGCCAGGGUUGUACCAUGUCAAGUGCACACAUAGCAACAGUUCAUCUAUGUGAGUAAUUGUUGUGAGAGUGACCUAAUUUAUGUUUCCAGAUUAAAGUUAUGCAUGUUUUGUUUGCCUUGGUAAAAAAUGCAUUUCUGUAUCUACUGAUGAUGAUGGUUAUGUCUUCCAGAGGCUGAACUACAUAUGAGCGCUUUAAA